CUCCUUCUUUUUCUUCUUCUCUUCACCGUGGGCGGCGCCCUCGCCGCCGCCGACACCGGGGAUCUUCUGCUUGAUCUUGUCCACCAAGCCCUCCUUGUGUUCGCCCUCCUUGUGUUCCCCGCCGUGAUGCUGCUGCUGAUGGUGAACAUCAGUAGUGCCGACACCGGGGAUCUGCUGCUUGAUCUUGUCCACCAAGCCCUCCUUGUGUUCGCCGCCGUGAUACUGCUGCUGAUGGUGGACAUCAGUAGUGUGGUGGUCCCCACUAUGGUGCUCUCCCUUGUGCUUGUCCUCCUCCUUUUGCCCUCCUCCCAUGUGAAGGGCUUCUCCGAUCUUGUGAAUAACUCCUGACAUUUUCCCUUAAAAUGACUCUGUUCCUCUUCUUUUCUUUUCAAUGAAAAAUAGUUGUUUGCGAUCUUCUUCUGGUUGUUGUUGUUCUUGUUGGGUGAUCUUGGCUUGGUAUUUAUAGGCUCCAAAAGGAGGGACUAGAAUUAGGAUUAGAUUAUAGAUUAUUUUAAUACAUUUUAUGGCAAAUUCUGAUUUGGAAAGAUAAGAUUAUCCUUUUGGUUUUCCUUAUUUACCCUUUUGCACCCAUUACGUGUACGCGUCUUCGUGGGCUUUUUGGGUAUUUCAAUUAUAUCGCCAAUGCUAAAUCGACACGUUGCAUAUCAGCCGCGGUACUGCCGUAUGUAGUUGUCCAGAAAUCGAGUCGAUUCUCGAUCGUACAAUAAUUAAAUAAUAUUUCAUACGAAAUGAGUUUAGAUAUAUUUUGAAAAUUUAUUUUUAAUUUAAUUAUACGUGUUAUAUAUUUGUUAAUCGAAUAGAGGUCCCACGUAACAGAGUGUUUCUCUAAUCUUUCAUUGCUUUUAAUUAAUUUUACCCAAAUAAAAAAAAAAAGGAAAAUUUAGAGAGAGAGAGAGAGAUAGCGAAUUAGAAGUUGAUUGUAAUAUCGACACCUGUCAGACAAUCAAAUAUCGUUAGUUAAAAAUCAGUUGUCCAUAGUCAUGGUCAUAGAUGGCGAAAUUGAUACUUAUUUUAAAAAACAAAACAAAACAAAACGAAACGAAACUAAACUAACAGAUGUUGAAAUGCAGUUCCGUGUUAACAGUCUGUGAUGAAUCUUUAUCUUUGAGUAUACCAUUCAAGAAAUUAUCAUUCAAAAAUUUAUUUAAAGCAGCAGCAAAUCACCUUCUAAUUCCUGAAUCAAAUUAAUUCGAUUUUUUUCGAGUCGAUCAAUUCAUUAGAGAAUUAACGGGCUAAGUUAAAGUUUUGUUAGUUAUUUUUUUUUAUAUUCCUUUAGAUGAUAUGAUUGUCAUUGUCUUUCUUUCUCUGGGCAACAAUAAAUACAAGAUGUGCAAAAGCGUAGUGGAACAUAAUUCGAUUAUGGGUAAAGGGAUCAGUCCGCAUAAUGAGGAUAAAGUUUUUCUCUUUAAAAAAAUUUAACCCAAAGAAAAGGUCGUAGUUUGUAAUAGCCGACACGCAGAUAGAUCACAAAGCAUGGCGGUCCUGAUGGCAAUAACUAACUGAUAUCUUCUGCGAUGAGAGGAGAUCACGUGGUUCUGACACGUAUCGCCCCAUCAACUGAUGUUGUGGCUGCAAUCGCGGCCCAGUCUUUAGAGAGAAGAAAGAUCUGUUAUAACGGGACCUACUUUAGCAUCUAUUUACGACAAAGCCCCUAUUUACUCUACUUAGUAGUAAUAAUAGCAAGUGUCGGGCUUGGAUUCCGUGUUGCUUUAAAUAAAUAUCCGCGUAAAAAGAAAAUGCUUCUUUAAUCCCUUCCUUGUAAUUUUUCGACACGUGGAUGGUUGAAAUUAGCGUGCCGACAUCUUAGGAAUUUUAUCUUGGAGACGGGAACACUGCAGUAGGCAAUGCCAUUUUCUUCGGAUGGUGUGUGGUGACAACGCCUUGGAUUUUGACGUGCAAAGAAUUUAAAUUGAAAAAGAAAAAAAGAAAUUACCAGAAUAAGCAUAGAAGAGAUAUUUUUCUUUUUGUCCUUUUUGGAAUGGAAAAAGAGAUCAAGAGAUUGUUCCAGUAAGUAUUACACAUGUCACAGGCUUAUUCAUGCCCCAUUAUGGCAACUUUUAUGCCUCGCGGUGCCCUCGGUUCCAGCAUAAUAGCUAAGACUUCAAUUUUUCUAACAUAUUUUUGUUACAAAUAUGAACGGAGUAAAUGUAUAACUUUAAUCCUUUGAAUAAAGAAAUGGCGGUUCUCCUGCUCGUUAAUCUCACUUGAAUCCCACCCAGGCAAAAUUUCUUUAUUUUAUUUAACAACAAUUUAAAGAAAGAAACUUUUGCCAGGUUGAAUUUCAAGUGAGAUUCAUUCGUGGGAGAAGUGCCAUUUCUUUAUUCAAAAGAUUAUGGUAAUUACAACUUUCAAUUUCGACAUAAAUUAAAAUUAUAGGCUAUACAAUAAAAUUGCCCUAAAUUAGUCCUAAUCAAUUCAGAUUAUAAAUUUAGGUAUAUUUAUUAUUUUAAUAUAUUAAUGUUCUAUAUAUAUAUAUAUAUAUAUAUAUAUAUGUGUGUGUGUGUGUGUAUNNNNNNNNNNNNNNNNNNNNNNNNNNNNNNNNNNNNNNNNNNNNNNNNNNNNNNNNNNNNNNNNNNNNNNNNNNNNNNNNNNNNNNNNNNNNNNNNNNNNNNNNNNNNACAGCAGAAAAUAUUUGCUAUGGAUAAGGAGACAUGGUCCCACGUCCCACCGUCCCAAUGCAUAUUUUGUAUGUUUCCAUCUUUUCUGAAAUUUUAAUAAAUAAAGUUUUUUGACCACUUGGCCAAAGAACCUUACCCUUACACAACUUUGUGGUUGGAGUCCUGUGAUACAUGUAAGAACUUAUUUUUUUUCUUAAUUAUAAUAUUUUAGAAUAUAAUUAAGUGAAGUAGGUUUUUUUUUUAAAUAUGAGUAAAAUAGAUAUUUUUUAAAUAUUAAAGAGAGUAAAAUUUGAAUAAUAAUAUAUUAAAAUUAAUACAAACUAAUUUUAAUAAUUAUUUAAUUAUAAAUAUCAAUUAUAACAUCAUAUAAUAUCAAUUAUAAUAUCGUACAUCUCAAUUAAUUCAAUAAUAAUAAUAAUAAAUGUUUUUUGGGAUAAGUAAACAGUCGCAUGGCGACAAUAGUGGAUCUGGAUUAGAGUGAAGUGGUCCCAAGAGGCUGAGGCUGUGGCUGUGGAGUUCUAAAAGUCAAAAGCUCCACGCACUUUGUUUCAGUACCAUACACACUGAAAAAAUUUGCAUUUGCAAUGACGAAAACUUUUCACGAAAUCAAAACACCUCUAAACUAUUUUGUUAUCGAUAUUUAAUGGAGGGGUUUCCUACCUUUUUAACACUCGAUUCACGCCUUGACGCAUCUCACAGAAAACCUCAUGAUCCCAUUAAUCUUGCGUAACAUAUCUCAAAGCCAAUGCAAGUGAUCUUGUUGCCUACUUCCCUUUGACGAUUCAAAAUUGUUGAAAAUAAUUCUUUUUUUUUUUAACCUCAAGGAAGUGACAAAAUAUAAAAGAAUAUUUUCUACACAUUAAACAUCUAGAUUUUUUUUUCUUUUCUUUUUAGAGUACUUGCACAAACCGUUUCCAAGAGAGACCUUUUUUUUUUUUUUUUUUUUCCGGGCUUGGUUACUAAUUUGGUGUGAAUACUCUAUGGUGAAAAAGGAAUCACAAAGCUGUAAUCAAUUUUUUUGCAUCAUUUAGUUGUAACUUGAACAUUGGGAGGUUUAUAAAGAAUUAAAUUAAUUAUAAUGCCUCUACUAGGAAAAGUUCAGAGUAGCCCUUCACAACUUUUUAAAGGCUUAAUAAUUUUCGCUUUCUUCCUCUCAUAACAUAACAAAAAAUUAAGAGCUUUACUCGUACACGUCCUAUGGCUAUAUAGUAUUGGGUUCUCUACUUCAAUCGGCUAUCUCAAACCGAAGGUUAUUUGGACACACCAGCAGUCACGUUUGGAAACUCUCAAAUGCUUGGAUUGUAAUUCUUGUGGAUGAGAUCAUCUAAAUCUUGGGCCCAAGCCGGACAAUGGGUGGACAAAGAACCCUAAAAUACAGUAAAGCUUCUAACACCCCACUAAAACUCUUAAGAAAUCCUACCUUUUAUUUUUAUAUCUCUUUCUUUUAGAAAUUAUAGAGAAGACAUAGCAUUUUAAUUAUUUUCCCUGCCAUUGAAAAUAAAUUCUGUAAACAUAUUUUUUCAUAAUAAAAUUAUUGUUAUUAGAUAAUUUAUUUCUUCAUUGUUUCAAAAUUAUUAUAAUUUUAUCAACAAAAUUAGUUAUGUCAUAUAUUAGGAUUAAAAUUAAUUAGGAUCCAUAACUUGUAAAGACAUUUUAGUUUAAUUGAAUUCAUAUUUGUCAUUUUAUGUAAUUUUCAAUAAAAAUACGACUAUGAGUGCAAAAGUGGGAUGACAUAAUAUUAAAAGAGUGUGAAAUAAUCGGUAAUUGAAAUGGAUUGAAAUCAUAAUAGAGUAUGAAAAUCAGAAUAAAUUGUUUACUUUAGUUGUAGAAAUCAAAAUUAAAAUAAACCAUAUUAUCAUUGAUGUAUAUAUGUUUUCUUGUAAUCGAAAUGAAUUCUUAUAAGUUACUAUAAGACCCUUAUGGUGUGUUUACUAAUCAGAAAUCAGAAUGGAGUGGAAUUUGAAUAUAGAAUGGUAGGGGUAUUCGCGGAUCGGAUUUUACGGAUUGGACAUUAAUUCAUAUCCGAUCCAUAAUUUUACGGAUUAUAAAUUCUCAACACAAUCCAAAUCCAAUCUAUAUGUUUGCAGAUCGGAUGCGGAUUUGACUCAAUUCAUAUCCAAUCCACUAUUUGACGGAUUGAUUUUGGAAUUAAAAAUUUUUAAUUUUGUCCAAUCUAUGAGGUAAUUAAAUUUAAAAAUCUAAUAUAAAAAUAAUUUAUUAAAUAAAAAAUUAACGUAAAAAUAAUUUUACUACCAAUUAAAUUCAAAAUUGAACAAGAUUUAAAUAAAUUAAUUAUUUAAAUAAAACUAGAAUAAUUUAUUUAAAAUUUUUAAAUAUAACAUAUCGAAAAAAAAUUCAUUUGUUUAGAUUAAUAUAUGAAAAUUAACUAAAAUUAUGAAUUUAAAUGUUGAAAUUUGAGAGCUUGGAUGUAACAGGAAGAAAUUAAGAAACUUGAAGAACUUGAAAAGAAAGUAACAAAUUAAGCUUAACUACCUCUAAUGGUGAAGUGAAACAGUGAUGGUUUGUGCGUGCAAUGGGGUACAAAUUUGGCAUUAUAUGCCAAAAUAUUUUGUUUGGCUUUAGAAUUUUUAAUGUUUAGGAAGCUAUAUUUGUUUAUUUAAUUACUCAAAUAUUUAAUUAUUUUUUAUUUUAUGUUAUUAUUGAAUAAGAUAUAAUAUUGUGUUAAUUUAGCUAUACUUUAAUUAAUUAAUUAAUUUAUUAGUAAGUAGCAUUGCUACAUUUAUAAGUUUUAUUUUUUAUUAAAUAAAUACUUUUUUUUUUCAGAUUCACGAAUUUUUACGGAUUUACAGAAAUAAAUCCAUAUCUAAUCCAUCGACUGUGGUUUUUUAAAUUUUCAUUCCAAUCCGAUCUACCAAUCCACAAAUUAUAUUUUUACGGAUCGGACGAAUUGAGCGGAUCAAAUUGGGUUCUGAACACCCCUAGAGAAUGAGAAUCAAAAUAAAUUAUUUACUUUAGUUGUGUGAAUCGGAAUUGGAAUAAAUUGUACUGUCAUUGAUGUGUUUACUUUAUCUUGGAAUCAGAAUGAAUAAUUUCAAAUUACUAAACUGACCUUAAUUUUUUAUUGUAAUAAUAAUAGUAGUAGUAGUAGUAAUAGUAGUAAUUUUCUAUUAUUAUUAUUAUUUUCUCUCUCUUUUGUUUUUAUUUUUUUAUUUUUCUCUUCUUCUUCUCUUCCUCUUUUUUUAUUUUUCUCUAAUUCAUCGAUACUUCUUCUUCUUCUUUUUUCUUUCGUUUUUAUUUUUAAUUUUUCCCUUCUUUAUCGUUCCUUCUUCUCCGUCCAUUCUCUAUCUUCAAACUCUUUUUACUUUUUCUCUUAUUCUUCAUUACUUCUUCUCCCUUUUUUUUUUUUUUCUCUUCUUUAUUAAUUCUUCUUCUUCUGCGUCUAUUCUUCAUCUUCAAAUUAUCAAGUGAAAAAUACCCACGGUGCCUUACAAGAAGAAUUGGUUUUGUUUGCUUCAAUUAUUUUUUGUAUUUUGUACUUUUGAUUGUUUCAAAAGAGGAUAAACUUGUAAUAAUGCAAUUUAAGUAGGGAUGUUUUAGACAAUUUUGGGUAUGAGAGUCUAAUUCCCAACCCCCCACUCCCUCGUAGCAGACUCCCAUUCUUCAUUCCUAACUUGGUGUUGGACCUACUAAAAUAAAUCCCAUUCCCCUUCUUAUUUCAAGAAGCAAACACGAUUUUGAUUUCAAUUCCCCAAUCCGAAAGUAAACGCACAAAAAUUGUACCCAUAUGAGAUUGCUUAUCCUCGAGUUUUUAGAUUGAAAAAAAAAAAGGAAAAAAGAAUGGCCCCAUUAGGAAGGGAUUUUAAGUGUUAGAUAAAGCCGGUGUUAACCAUUAGAAGGUCUCCGACCUUCAACUGUAAUAUAUUAAACCCAGAUAAAUUUACAUAUAAAUCACACAAACCAACAUGCCAAUCAAAUAAAUUACAUCAACUAACAACAAUUGACACAUUAAUUUUCAUAAUACAGAGGAUGCAGAAAAUUAAAAUGUUUUAUCUUUUCUCCUUAUUUGUGAAUUGGAAAAUGAAAAUGUUAAACAUACAGAAGAGUGAAACAGGAUGGAUAUAUAUACACACACACACACACACAGCUUUGGAGUUCAAUGUCAUCGUAUUGCUCCAAGAAGAUUGGCGCCAUCAAGCUUUGCACCUUCCAGAUGCUGUUUAAUCAUCACCAUAACACCUUCAGUAGACAUUAAUACAUAAUAGAAACACAAAAUUCACAUGAUCUGAAUGUCUGGUCUAUUUUACUUACCGUAUCUCGAAGAUUUACGUGCCGUAAAUAAGCUCUUUGAAGGUUGGCACCCUUUAAAUUGGCAUUACGUAGCUUUGCACCCUGCCGCAUAAAUGUUCGAAGUUUCAACAAAUUAAAGUCUCCUGAGAAAUACAUGUCACGAAAAAGUAGGGCUGAAACUUGCAUCUAAUGUACAAGAUUCAAUCAGGGGUGCUUGUCCCACAGUGAAAGUGUAUGGGGGAAAGUGCACUUUCACAAACCAAAGGGGCAAGAUGUGAUUAUCACACGAUUACAAAAGGACUGUAGUCAAGAGAGAGAACUGAACAUGCAGCUUGUAUUGAGGCCAUGAAAAUUGAUGAAAAGCAGUAACAAGCAACCAUUUUGAAAACACUUCAUAUGGUCGAAUCAAUAAAUCAAAGCUAAAAUGAUGUUGACGAUCGAUAGCUUUUAGGUGAUAAGAGUCUUGGCACUACAGUUAAAAUUAUUAUCUAGGAGUGCACACAUUAAUAAAAAAAAACACAACCAAUAAGCAUGCACUCUUAAUCAGCAUAUAAAUUAACAAGUUAGUUGCACCUUAUGUUGUUCCACAAACAGAUUGCUCGAACAAUUCACAAUCUUACCUUCAAAUUAGCUCCUUCCAAAUUAGCUCCCUCUAGGUUGGCAUUAGUAAGAUCAGCAGUCUGAAAAGUCAAGAGGACAAACAGAUUGCAAUUUGAUUAAAAUCUCAAAGUAGCAACAUUCUGCAUGAAAGAAGAGCAGCACAAUUGGCAACAUACAUUUUAGAUUAAGAGGAUGGGAUAAAAGCAAAAUUACAAGGACAUGAAGCAAAUGAGCCAUGUUUAGUAUGGCAAUUUUGACCCAAUAAUUGUGGCAGGUCUUGGAGAUAACAUAGGCAUACACAUAAGGCAGAAGCAAAUACUGUCGCAAACUCCUAGCUAACUACAAAUGUUCCAUAUAGAAAAAAACACCUGCAAAAGUAAGGGAAAAAGCAACAGAUAAAGAACUCAAGAUGCUAGACCUGUAAGUGUGCAGAUCGCAGGUCUGCUCCACAGAAGCUGCAGUCUAUCAAGCAAGCAUCUGCAAUGAUUUAAGAUAAAUUUGAAUCCAAAUGACAUUUUACCGCAAGUAGUUCCAGCCAUUUUGGGAACAAACAAGAAAUGCUAUUUUGUAUUCAUUGUAAUUCCUUAAGCUAAAUAACAAUCAUGUGCUAUCUUAACCAAGGUACAGUUGCAAAUUCUGAAAUUGUGAUGCCAUAGGUUGUUCUUAAUCUUUUUGAACUGAAUAUUGAAAAAAUAUUCCUUCAAUCAUAAAUGUUAAAUAAUUAAAAGAACUGUGAGGGGGGNNNNNNNNNNNNNNNNNNNNNNNNNNNNNNNNNNNNNNNNNNNNNNNNNNNNNNNNNNNNNNNNNNNNNNNNNNNNNNNNNNNNNNNNNNNNNNNNNNNNNNNNNNNNNNNNNNGGGGGGGGGGGGGGGGGAAUGAAUAAGCGGAUGCAUACAGAAAAUUAUGGAAAAUCUGUUAUGGAAAUAAUAUGAAAAUGGGUAUGCAUAACUACAUACUGAAUCUUGACUAAUUUCAAUUUAAUUCAGAUAAGAAAUUCCAGUAUGGGAAUUGCCUUGUAAAUUUGCACUCUGAAGAUUUGCACCAGCUAGUAAAGCUCCACGAAGGUUUGCCCCAGCAAAUUCACAUCUUCCCUAGGCAAGAUAAAACCCUUAAAAGGCAAUUUUGAAAAAUACAUAUAAUUGGGAGAAUAUCCAGUAUUGCUUUGACUCUCUUACUCACGCAAAGUUGCAUUGUGAAAAAUGGAACCCUCAGCAUCCACAUCCUGUAUCAAGAACAGACAGAUUCAGUAUGAUUAAUAUAACUGGUUGCUGGAAGACAGGACAAAAUCGCAUCUUGUCACUGUCAACUUGCAUGUUAAGAAUUAAACACGAAAACUGCAUGCUGUCCAAUUAUAAGAAACCUAUAAAAUUCAAAUCAACAUCAAUACUGGCUUAAGGAAGAUAUAAAAAUAAAAAUUAUACCAACCCGAAAUUUCGCAGAUUGAAGAUUUGCACGUGAGAAGAAAACAUUUCUAAGACACGCAUAGCUGAAGUCCACAAGUGAAAGAUCCUGGCCAUUUUAAUAAGAUAGCAUCAGAGGAAACAAUAUCUAAUGAAUAUAUAAUGUUCUUUCUUGCUUAUCUGAGAAUACUAAUGAGAUUAUCAAAAAAACUCUAAGCUACUGCUAAGAAGUCUUGUGUUACAUGAGUAUGAAUUGAGGAGGUAAAGAAGACCCUUCUCCAAUAAGUUACCAUAGAAGCCACAUAAAACCCUAAAGCAGUUACAAACUUACAAUGACCAGAAUAAACCACCCCAACUAUCUAUUGGCAAGUAAAAUCACUUCUCUGGAUUUCUGAAAACUAGCAAAACAAAUGCAUAAAUUGGCAAAUUCGAUGAUUUCCUCUGAAAACCAAAUUAUAGCAGACAUAAAACUUGGAAGUAUUCAUAGAAUAAAAAUCUUUCAAGCACCUCAAUUCAGUAAUUAUUACCAGCUUAGAAAGAUCAAGGCCAGAAAGAUUAAGUCCUCGAAAUCUGACUUUUUCAGACUGUAUACACUUGAUGAUAUCAAUGCGUGUUAGCUCAGUAUCUAACUCAUUAUCUUCCUUUCUCUUAUUUAUGACAGCAUGGAUUCUCUCAAUUAGUCCCUGAAAUGAAACACAUUAGAUGCAAACUAUUAUUUGAAAAAAGAAAUACAUUUUAUCCACUAACACACAUGGAUUUCAACAGCAAUCAUACAAUAAUUGAGGAAGGACGGUCAUAUCAGACUCAUCUGCCAAGAUUCAAUAAGCACAUCAAACUUGUUUACAUGUAAUUUCCACAUUCCACGUGAAUUUAUAAGGUCUGCCUAAGCAAACCAAAGAAGGCUACACUCAGUACUGUGUGUAUACUGCCUUACCUUUGCUGUUCCCCAGAUACCGUCCUGCAAUCCAGAUACUUAGCUGUGAAGUUUCAAGCCAGCGAAACCAUUUUAAAAGUACACAUGGACACAGAUACCAUUAUCUGAAUCAUCUUCGAUAACAAAUUAAAAUGCCCUAGCGUUCAAAAAACUUAGGAUCUCUUUAAGUGAAGUUCCUUUAAAAAAGUAGAAAAAAACUGAACAACAAUGUCAUGCUAAUAAAAGGUAAAAAAAAUAAAAUAAAAUAAAGCAUAAGGACAGAAGUUCACCAGGAGCAUGCCAGUAUAAACCAAAACGACCACAAAUCUCAACCAUAAAAUUUAAAGUAGUAAAGUAAAUAAUCAAGGGCAUGCAGUUGGCACAGGUGCUUCCAAAUAAAAUGAUGAUUCUUUUCAAACAGAAAAAAGAAAUGGAUGUUAAUAAACUAGAAGAAACCAUGUCUUACAAGUAAUUGAUAAUAUUCUGCUUCCCGUAGAAGCUCUAAAAACUCUGACUCUGUUAAUGUGGGGACAGCCCCAUCCCUUAACCAAUUCAGAAUAUGCCGAAAAUGUUUUCCGUCCCUAUCAACAAAGAUAUAGCCCUGCAAUAAUUCAAUAUGCUCAAAGAUAAGAAUCUGAAUAAUAUACCCAAGAGAAGUGCUUUUCCCUGGAAUAAUAAAAAGAAAAUAAGUCAAAACGUUUUUCUUAAUGGAAGAACACAAAGGAACAGCUCUAUGACUAACAUGAAAACCAUAAAUCAGAAUAAGAACCCAAAACUGGUCAUUUGGAGUUUCACCAGAUCAAAAAGAUCACAUGGAAAUAAAAUUGUGAAAAUGGGAUUAUUUAUGCCGAGGUCAUGGCUAAACUGCAAUCAUUACUCCAUUUUUGGUAGAAGGAGAAGAAGAAAGAAGAGUAGGUGAGUCAUCAUUCUUUCAGGUGAGUCAUCAUUCUUUCUCUGUGAUUAAUUGAUAUGAUGGAAGUGUUGUAGAUAUUAAUUUGAUAGUGAUUCCUCCCUUCAAAAGAAUUCAUUCCUUUUUUUAUUAUUUCACAAAGUUUAACUAAGACUGAGUUUUCUCAAUUUGAAGGCAUCGUGCACUCUACCCCUUUCUUUUCCUCACAUUGCUUCUUCCCAAUCCCAAAGGGAAGAAAUCAAGAAACAAUUACAAUUUUUAACUAUUCACCAGCAAAAACAAGGCAAAGAAAGAUGCUGAGUGUAAGCAAAAAUAAGAGAGUUAUACACCUCAGAGUCUUGGCACACAGUAUGGCGACCGCUGAACAUAGCUGCAAGCAUAGAUUCAGGCUCACGACGAGUCAGAGUAUCAAUUGUUGUAUAAAAUUUCUUUCCCCCUGGAUAUUAAUACAUAAAAUAUAAAUUUGUUCACUUAAAAGCAUGAAUUGUGCAAAUUUGUCAAUAAUGUCAUUCUUUCACAAACGUUCACCGAAAUGUAUAACAAUAAGUGCAUCAUAACAUAACUAAACGGCUUAAGAACUGCGCAGAUAUUACAUACAGUAGAGAAACAAGAAAUAGAAAAUGAGAUUUGCCCUUUUUAAACAGAAAGCAAUCAAAGAGUAAACUAAAGAGCUAAUAAUUCACAAAAUUCAGUUGAUUAAACUCAUUUACAAGUAAUUAGCAACAAAAUCCAAGCUAAAUAAAAAUAAUGAAAAUUAGGUUCUUAUAACAUCCGUCAAUUCUAUGAAAGUUUACCACGAUCAGCAACAAAUAGAUAAAUCGCAAUAAAGAAAAACCGACGACAUGUCGGUUGUGUAGUGCAUAAGUAAAGGAAUUUGCAGAUGAUGUAAAGAGAAUGAGGGAUAGUAACUGACCGAUGUUGAGACGAACCAUUGAAGACGAAUCGGAGUCCUUCGCCAUUGUCGAGUGUAAUGACUUGUCGUCUUACUUGCGCUCAUAGGUAUUUAUAUCAUAGCUGACACUGUUCGAAGGACAGCAAGGAUUUGGUGGGCACAAAUGCAUUUUGGAAAUUGGGCUUCGGCCCAAGAAAUCGAAAAUCAGAGGCUUUUUUUUAAAAAAAAUUUAAAAGGAUUAGAAUGUCUAUAAAUUAAUAGGGCUGAGACCAUCUUAAAUCUAUUAAGUAAAAGAGAUAUUAAAUAUUUUAUUAAUUAAUAAUUUAUUAAUUUACAGAAUUAUUUAUAAUUCAAUUAACAUACAUUUAAUAACUAAACAUUCAAUGUACAUAAUUUCUGAUUACAAUUCAAAGCACUAACAAUACUUCAUAAUUUCUUAUUACAAUUCAAGAAUUCAACCUCAUAGCUUUUAGAUGCAAUAAGAAAAAUAAGAAAUAAGAUUCAGUUAUAUUUAAAUUUUAAGAAAAAAACAAUAAAAUCAUAUUUUAUGUAAUUAAAAUAUCAUAGUCAACUACAUUUGUAAUUUCAACAAAUUAUUACUCUAUGAUUUAAAUGAGACCACAAAGUUAUAUAAGAUUUUAUCGAAAUUAUUAAUUUAAUCCAUUAGUCCAUGUCAAGACCUUGAAAAUUUAAUAAUUAUAUAAUAGAGAUUAUUAAUUUAUCGAGUAUUAAUUUAUAGAAGUUCUGAUUGUAUAUUAUUUUAUAUUAAUAAAGAAUAAAGUAGCAUUCUUUUUUAAUUCCGAAGUAAUAAAAUUAUGGCUAAAUUAAGAGAGUAGAUAUAUUUUAUAACUUGGUUUAAUAACAUCACGCGCCUCCCUUGUAGUUUUGCAGCUUUGAAGCUUUAUAAUGAAUCCUAUUAGCUUUGGCUGGAAAGUUAUAUUGUUAAAGAGAGUUUAUAUAUUAAACAAGGUGAUCUAAUAUUUCCAAAACUAAAUUUGGGAUCAAAAAUAGAAAACAUUUGCAUGUUUUUACCUUUUGGAAGAAUUACUUGAUAAGUGCUUCACAGAAAAAUGCUUGCUAUUAUAGAGCACCCUAAAAAAAAUCCUUAAUAAUUGAGGGAUCAUAAUAAAGUUCAAUUCUAAAUCUGUCAGAUAGAUCGAAAGUAACAAACCAUAUAUAUUUAAAUCUAUUUAGUAAUCCAGGGUUACAAGCCAAGCGUGCAAUAGCCAAUUCUGAAAAUCAAAGCUCAGCCUAUGCUCUCUGAGCACAAAUAAGAUCUGAUAUAUACAUAUCGAAUCCUCCAUUAUGUGGAGUGAAAUUUCCAUCGUGUACGGUGUACCUAACAAUGAGAAAGCAUGGCAGCAUAAAUUCAUCUUCCAUGUUAUUCUACUUAUUAGUACUGGUUCCCUCAUAACUUCUCCAAAUCGGGGAGGUCUGCAAUGUGUAAAGCACGUAAUCAGAUAAAAGAAAGAGAGCCAAAAAAAAAAAAAAAGGUAACAGCCAAAAGAUUAAAUUUCUUUGAGAAAUAGAAAAUGGGAGCUUUUGGCAUAGGCACAGAAUAGAAAGUAACAGAGUCAUUUACAGUUGUUCAGAAUAUGCAAGCUGAAAACAACUUUGAAUGCAAUGGACAAUUCCUCCAACAAACAAUCGAAUUGGAUUGUGGAAGAGACAAAAGCUUAAUGAGGUUAUGGUUUUGGCUAGGUGAACUCAAAAUUCUUUUAUAGACCAAGUAGGUAAAAACAAAUCCCAUAUAGAUGGAUGAACCUCAUACCAUGAACAGUUAAUCGCGAACACUUGCAGGCUUAUGCACACGACUAUGAAGAUACUAAGGGUUUCACCGAUGGUAAGUGAAAAAUAUAUGAUGUAUAAUUUAAAUGGAAGCACAUAGUUUCGGAUUGAAUUCAAGGUUAAAGUUCCACAGACAGACAGAAGAGAUGAAGCUUAAAAACUUACAGAGCAUUCCUUCAUCAUCACUGCUUUCAUCAUUUUGGCCAACAUGCUGAAAAAAGAAUAUGAUUCAAGUUAAAUGAUUGAGCAACAAUAAAAAACGUGCAAAAUUAAUGCUCUCUCCACAAAAAUUUCAGUCUAUAUUGGUAAGAAGAAACAGGAAGAAAAAAUUACCUCAGCAUCAUCGUCAUUGGAAGCCAAAUCAGCUGUAAAGACCACAAAAUGUUUGGUUAGAACCAGUGGAAGUCUUACUCUAAAAUUUUUAAUUUUUGAAUUUCGAAAGAUCUCGUAAUGACAAAGAUUUUCAUAUCCAGUGACCAAGUUUUGAAAAUUAGAAUACGGAAUGACAUCAACUAAAUUCACUAAUAUAAGCUAGAGGAAUCCCUAGUAGAUAUAGCGCACAUGCACACAUGAUAUGCAUCCGAAUACACAAUAAUAAAUUAUCUCAAAGUCAAUAAGAAGCCAAAAUUAGAGAUAAACUUUUAGCCACUAUAAGGAAGACUGAUAUUUGCAGUGUGAUUACAAUAAACAAACAGAAACUUCACUACCCAUAAGUAAAACAAAAUAAAUAAAGGAUAAUAACUAACCAAGAAAUGGAAAAGCUCACAUUCUCUGAACACGCACCCCAAAAAGAAAGAAAGAAAUAAAUGUUCUCAUUGGAUCUGAAGCACAAGCAAUCCACUGACAUCCUUCUAUAAUUAGGUAAUUUAAAGGGGUUAAGCUCACAUCUUUUACGGAAGUAAGAAGAGAAUUAACAACCUUCCAGAGGAUUUAGGGAAAUACCACGAGGCAAGAAAAAAGAAAUAUCCUUCUUCAAUCUAGAUAUCCUGAUACUGCUCACCAUCUACAACAGUCUGUGGCUUAAAAAGCAGGUCACUGAUCUCUCCCUCCCUCUGGCACCAUUUUCUCUCAUGUCUCAUUUUUCCCUUCCUGCCAACUCCCACUACAGUAUUGAAACCUAUUCUAUCAACUCUUCCCCCUCCAAUAACAAGACCAAAACCAAUUUUACUCGCCGGUUAGCUAGGUAGUAAAUGGAAAUUUGUGAAUCUGUCAUUCAUCCGUAGAAACAAACCAGAACUGCAUAAAUUCUCUUCUCUCCCAACAGCUUCUUUUCUCCAGAAAUAGGCACAAGUAUUUGACAUGGAAACAGUUUAUCUAACAUGGCCACCUUUAAAGACAAAGACAUACUAAGGACGUGGUUUUAGAUACGGAUACAAGAAACAAUCACAAAAUGUAAAAUCUAUACAUAUGAUAUUAAUUUCCAAUGGAUACAGCAAUUCAUUCUUUGACAUAACUUCAUCAGAUUACUAGGUUUGAUUAGGUUAUACACACAUUUAUUCAUUUAUUGAAUCUACAUGCACUUAGAAUGAGAGGUACCUAUAAAAACAAGUUACCAGAAAACAAUACAGCUAGAAAACAUUAAUCUAAGUAGUUCUAUAGGUUUAACUAACUGCAGGAAAAAACCAUUGAUUUUGUCCGCCAGAUUAUCGAGAUCCUAAUUCUGGUAAAAAGAAAAUGAGAUAAUAGAAAAUCAAAAAUUAAAUAGACACAAAAUGAGAAAUCAAGAUCAUAUGGCAACUAAUAUAUAGCAUGGGCUGCAGCUAACAAGCAAUAUAAGCCAUGAUAUUAUGCCAGAUACAAAUUUUGAGAUCCAAGAGAGAUCAAGAAGCAUGAAUACCACUAAAAUAUCGAAAGAAGUGAGUGCAGAAGGAUAAGAAAUCAGGUUGAUAUUCUUCAUACUUUGGAUCAACACGUAGUGAUGCAAUAAACUUGUAAUUAGCUUCAAAUGUAUAGGCUACCAUGUCAACAUUUCCGAAAACACACAAGAUUGUGCUGGAUUCAUACAUAGUACAUAUAUAAAAAAACAAUCUGCUUCUAAACUUCAUGAGAACAUCGAAUAAUGAACUUACAAUUUGAUCCCUCAUCAUCUUCAUCGCACCAUUUGUUCCAAUCAACCUUAAUGUAAGGUGCUGGUUUCUCUUCUGACUUGAGUAGCCUUUUCCACCAACCUUUCUCUUCUUUUUGGACCGAGCAUAUUAUGUUCCUUAAGCCAACUUUAGUCUUACAUUUCUGCACCACCAGCAACAAAACUCAAAGCAUUACAAAAGAGGUAUAUUUAGCCGCUCUUGACUCGAGUGAGAGAACAGGAUAAAUAGCCUAGGUAUAUCCACAUCCAUGUUAUGAGAUUGAUUAUGCAACAGCUAACUUUAAUAUAAAGCUUUUGCUUCAACAAAGACUAAAAUGUUUGUAAUUGUUAUGCUUUUGGAGCUAAAAUGUUUGGCAAACACCCACUUUUACUCUGCACCUAAUAUCUACCACCCACCCACACACUAAGUCUCUCGUUUGGUACAGCUAUUUAUCAGUAGUGGCUUUAAGCCACAACAUUUAAAGCGAAUUUACCCUAAAAUUUUACAAUGAAAAACCUAUACUACCUUUAACAUUGUUGUCAAAAUUAUUAUUAUAAGUAAUAUUUACCAAACACUAUCAACUUCCAAUUCAUAUCAAAGAGCUUUCACUCCACAAUAGCCGUGUCUUCUUAAGCCAGAACAACACAAUACCAAAGGCCUUAAGCUAGUGAUUUGAUUUCACAACAACUGCAGAUCAAGCCUCAAUCCCAAACAUACAUAAAUCAAAUGCAGAAAGCAAAAAUUUAACAAUAUGUUUGGUAUACUAAAUGUCUUUCAUAGUUUCAUUUCACAGGGUAUUUAGACAUGCAAUGAUAAAUUGGAGCAAUUUCAAGAACCGAAUUGACCUCAGGUAAAAUUUUGCCAAAAAGUUCCAAGCUGAAGUCGUAAAGCUCGCCUUGGACUCCGACGGCCGAGAAGCCAAAAAUCCCCUGAGGCUCGCAUUUCACAGAAAUGUCUUUCGCAUCGGGUAAUGAAAUGGUAAGGUAUACUUUAUCGGAGCGCUGAGCCCAAAGAACCUCCGGAUGGCGACUGAACAUAAAAGAAAUAAUAAUAAUAAUAAUAUUAUUAUUUUUUAUUGUGACAAUUUUGAACUAAUAAUUAGAGACAUUUAACAACAAUAUUGAUUAAUAUUGGAGAAGAAAAAUAAGGUUACAAGAGAGAAUCAGAAAGAUUACCUCAUUCUGGUGGAUGAUUGAAAACGGUGGGUCGAUUGAUGAACAGAAGUGUAACUGUCUGGGAGUGAGAGUGACUCUGCUGUUUACUGGGUAGAGUGUGCUUACUCGAAGAAAUUGAAAGUGAUAAUCUCGGGCAAGCCAACACGUCGAUUUGGUCAACAGUGGUCCAACAAACCAGGAACUAGGUUUUUUUUUUUAAAUGAUUUUUUUUUUCAGUAUUAUAUUGCCCCGCCCGUGGGCUAUUACAUUUUGGCCCUUUUGGGGACCCCUCGUUCUCUUACAAGAAGGGAAUAUUCUUUUCCAUCCACCGGUUUGUAGGCAGAGUACAUAUACUCUUCGAAAUUAAGGACAAAUUUCUGAAUCGUGCCGCAUUAGAAUUAAAUUGAGUCUCAAAAGAAUUUUGGUUAUAAGUAUAUCGUUCAAACGGUAAUAUAUUAAAAAAAAUAAUAUUUACUACAAUGUAGACCUAUCGGGACUUUGAAGCCCAGACCAAUUCUUGAGUCUAGCCUAAUAACACCUCAACAGAUCAAAAUUGAAAUCCAACUUAAAUUUCAAUAUUGUGUAGGGAUCUGCCUUAAUUUAGAUAUGUCAAGACCUGCCUUAGGCAUCAAAGUGAUCUAUCUUAACAUAACUAAGACUUUCUUUAAACAUCACAAUGAUUUAUCUUAACGUAGUCAAAUCUAGCCUAAAAAAAUCUAAAGAAGGAAAAAAGAAAUUAUUUUCACGUAUUGAGAGACUUAAAUUCUUAACCUUAUUCAUAAGAAAAAAAAGUGUAUUACUUAACUAAAUCGUGACUAAAAAUUAUAAUUAUUAUUUUUUGUACAUUUAGCUUUAAAAAAUCAUUAUAUAUAUAUAUUCAUAUAAGUUUUGACAUAAUAUACAUACCACUUAUUUGUUUUUUAAAUUAUACGAGAAUGAAAAAACUCAAGCAUUAAACACCAACUUUUGUUUCAUGCUAUCAAUCAACUUGAGAAAUUUUAUAAUAUAUCGGAAGUUCUACGUCACAAUUUAAUACGAAGCCUUCGAUUAAUAAUAAUUAGACACAUGACAAUAGAUGCUAGAGAAAUUUUAAAUUCCCUCUUUUCAUUAUCCCUCCAAAUUUAGAAUUUCAAAAAAUUAGAGAAUAAAUGUUGCUUGCUCUCUUUGUUAUCUAAUUCUAAUUAUUAUUUUUUUCUCUCUCUCUCCAAUCAAGUUGCUAGCAUUUUUUAAAUCUAUUGAAGAAUAAGAAGAAGGUUUUUGUCGAUGAAAUGAUUUUGGCAGCCUUUUUUACCCAAAGCUAACAUGAUUGCUGCGACUACCAAUGAAGAAAAAGAUGUGUUUUGCUGGCGAAGAAGAUGAUUUUUGAAGCAUGAGUGGCUGCCGUUUAUUUUUUUCCUUCAUAUUUUUCGAUGUAGUGGCUGUCCUCAAGUUUUAUUCAUUUACUUUUCAGUUGGCCUACUAUUUAUUGGCAUAAUGAAAAAUUUUAUUUUAAUAAGCAUUUAUAGAUUAAUUUGAGGAGGUUUCUUUUGCAAUAUUAGUGUGGUUUCUGCAUUGGUAUGAUUUAAAUUACGAACUUGCUACAAUCUUUAAUUAAACUGUCAAAAGUAAUUUAAAAAAUCUUUAAUUAAACCGUCAAAAGUAAUUUAAAAACUGACAGUAGAUAGAUUAGAGAUAGGCUUGACAAUUUAGCCCGACUCUAUUUUUAGUCUGAUUGAUCCGAUCCUAAUUUUUAAGACUUUGGCCUGAAUUUUUUGAUUUCGGGUCGGGUUCGGGUCAAAAUUUUAAGGCCCGAACAAAUUUAGGGUCAGGGUCGGACUUAAAACCAACCCGACCCGACCCUAUUUAAAAAAAAAAAAACUAACACACGCACACAACACAUGACAGUUCACUCUCUCUAAAUCGUAAAUCACACACACAAAAUACACUUACACAAAUUCACAAAAACCCUAAGCCAGCCACCCAGCCUGCUGCCGUCCUAUCAGCCAACAUCGUGACCGUCCGCCGCACGCCAGCCAAUCAGCCGUCGUCUCGUCGUCGCAUGUCUCACCAAUCAGCCAUCGUGACCGUCUGCGACGCUGCGACAUGAACUUGAACCAGCCGCCCUUUGUCGCCGUCCUGCCGCAUCCGCCUGCCAGCCAACGAUCAAUGCACACAGUUGAAUUGUGGGGUGGGAAAUGGUUUCGAUAGGGUCGGGCUCGACCCGACCCUAACUAUAAAGAGGUAGGGCUUUUUUAGGGUCGGGUUUUAAUUUUUUGUUGAUCGGGUCGGGUCGGGUUUGGCCAAACCCGAGCCCGACCCGACGUUUUGCCAUCCCUAAUUAGAGAUGAAGAUUGGAGAGAGAGAAAAAUAUAAUUUGAAUGAGAUAAUAAAGAGAGAAGAAAUUCUAUAAUACAUCAUAAGUAAUAUAACUCAUUGAUGUAUGCAUGAUAUAUGUAAUUAACCUUAAUAUAACUAACACUUGUAUGGUGAUAUUUCAAAAUAAAUAUACAUAUGUUAUAAAAUCAUUUACUUAUUGUAUGACUGACAUUUUAUUUUUGAUGUAUUGUACAAUUUCUCAGAAGAGAGUAGUAUUUAUUAUCUCUAAUUUUUUGAAAUUCUAAAUUUUGGAAGGAUAAUAGAAAGAGAAAUUUUAAAAAUUUUUCAACGUAUAAUGCCAUGUAUCUAAUUAUUAUUAGUCGGUGUUCCACGUUAAAACGUAAUAUAGAACCUCUGGACCUUACUGUAUAAUGUACUGUAGAAUUUCCUGAUCACACACUUUCUCAGUUGCAAAAGAGGUGGGCAUAUGAGUUCCUUACGGGGAUUUAGUGUGAAUCCACGCAAAGCCCAUAUAGAUUUUUCCGGUUAACCGCUAUGGCAUCCUAGUUUUAAACUCAGUACUAAAUUUACAGAUCCAUUUAAACCCCCCAAAUCAGUCUCUCACCGUCUCAAGUCUCAAACAAAAAACCUGACCGGAACCCAAACCGCCAAAUCCGAUUCGAUGGUGGACUGUGCUAAAACCCCUAAAAUUCCAAGACUGACAUGCGGUAAAGGAGAUGGUGAUAGACUUAGCAAUCUUCCGGAGCACAUCAUUUAUCACAUAUUCUCGUUCAUGGAAACAGUUGAUGUUGUUAGAGCAAGCACUGUUUCGCGAAGAUGGAGGUACUUGUGGCUUUCCGUUCCUUAUUUGAACUUCGACUAUCACACAAUUUGGUCAGACCCGGAAAGUAGAUGGUCUCGUAGGAAAAUCAAUGAUAAGUUCAAAGAUUUUGUCAACUGGGUAAUAUUUUCUCAAAAUGGGUCUGUUAAUAUUCAAAGAUUUCGUCUUUGCUGCUGGGAUUAUUUAGCAAGUUACGAUAACGAUAGAACGAUUUACAGAUGGGUUUCUGCUAUGGCACGUCGAAACGUGCAAGUGCUUGAUCUGGCUAUAGCUUCACUAUACCCAUUUGAGUUUGACUUGCCACAUAGUCUUGUAACUUGUGAUUCAUUGGUGGAACUGAAGUUGAGUUUGAGCUUUCAUGUUCACCGAUGUUUUUUAAAGCUGCCUACUGCUGCUGGUUUUAUUGGGCUCAAGUCUCUUGAUUUACAAAGUGUUGCGUUGGAUGAUAAUUUGUUUCCUGAAUUUAUUUCAAAUCUUCCCCUGCUUGAGAAUUUGUGUAUGUUGUCAUGUGUUUUUCCUGAAUUGAAGGUUCUUGACAUUUCUUCCACUAAUUUGAAGAAUUUGGCUCUGGAAUCCAUUGUUGGCAAUGAUAAUGCUGGCAAUGAUGAUGCUGGCAAUGAUGAUGCUGGCAACUACAAGCUUAAGAUUGCUUGUCCAAAUCUUGUGUCUUUUAAUUAUAUAGCUUUAGCUCCAUGGUUACCUCACUUUGCUUUUGAGAGCUUAAACUCCUUGCAAAAUGCAUUCAUUGACCUGGAUGAUUAUAACGAGGAUGACAUGGAGAACGAAAGAUGUCAUGUUUUAUCUACAAUCUUCAAUGACUUUCGUGAAGUUAAAGUUUUGAAAUUAUCAGAAGCCAUUCUUCUCGAGGUAUGAUUUCAAAUACAUUCAUUGCACCAAAUCAUGAUUCUGCCAGAACUUGUCUACACUUUUUUAUUUUGACAUUAGAAAUGAAGCUUAAGUAAACUGAAUCUACUUUCUUUGUUUGGUAAAAUAAGAAUUCUAUUGAUUAUGGAACCUUCCUAAAUGCUAAUUUGUUCUUUAGACUGUGUAUAAGUCAUUGUGACAUUGUAUGAAGUCUCAUUUAUCUGAGUAAUCAAUUGUUAUUGAUGUCAAAGACUAGAACUCAUUGGUGACUUGAGUUUAUGUAUAUUAUCGUUUGUUAGAUUUUUUGUGUGAUUAUUGCACUUAACUUGACUAAUGUAUUCUCUUUCUUUUUGCCAUUGUUCCUCCAGGUUCUUGAUCCUGAUCCUGCUCACGAAGAACCAGCAUUUUUUUCCACUUCAUUCAAUAAUUUGAAGUCCUUAAUACUUUCUGCAGGUCCGGGUGUAUGUCUCAUGCCAUCAAUGCUUAGGUUGCUCAACUGCUCUCCAAAUCUAGAAGCUCUUGCAAUAUAUUCUCCUAAGGUAAUCUUAACACCAAAAACUAUUCCAUUUGUUAGAUACCGUCGCUUCUAUCCAUUUUUUUUAAAAAUCAUAUCUCCCAUUUAUGUGCUAAAAUUUUAAUUUUGUUAAAGUGCAACUGGGCUUUGCUUAAAUUAUCGCAAUAGAGUUGAAACCUGAAAGUAUUUGUGAUAUAUUAUGUUUACCGCUUAGAGCUUAAAGUAAAUGUUAAUCUUGUGGCCUCUUGGUUGUUCCCAUGCUAUUGCUUGUUGAGCAGAUGGUUGAAUUUAGAGUCAAUCAAUCGGUUGUGUUCUUCUGAGGUUUGUGCAAGUUUUGUAAAAGAGCAAAGUUUAGUAUUUGUUUAGUUUGUGAAAAUGAUAUAGCUUUUUCUAAUUCAUCUUACUCUAUUCUUUGCUUAAAAAUGAAUUCUCCUUUUGAUUUGAUUCCUUGACUGCAUUUCGGUCUGUUUUCUCUUGGCAGCAUCGGCGUGGAUAUAAUGCUUAUAGGAAAACACCGAACAAGGCUGCUAUUUCAUGUUUGACAAAUCAUCUCAAGACAGUUGAAAUAAAACAUUUUAGCGGUGAUAUGAAUCAACUUGAAAUUGUGAGGUUUCUUCUAAGGAAUGGACAUGUAUUGCAGAGAAUGAGUAUUAGAUGGGUGGCAGAUGUUAAGAAUCAAGGGAAGAUUAUCUCAAGGAUAAUGAAGUUUCGGAGAUCAUCUUCAAGUGUUGUGCUGAAAUUCCUAGAUCCUAAGCCAGCUGAUGAUUUUUCAGAUUAUUUAUUUGAUGAUGAGCAAAAGAACUAAAAUUAUGUUUAAAUUAAAAAAAAAAAAAGUGGUUUAAGUGUAUGUUCGAAUUAAAUAGUCUUUUGGAUUUGUAGAAACUGAAAGGAGUACAGUGCCAGUCACUGUGGCAGCCUUAUGUUUUGUUUGAAAAAAUUCGGAAGCUUCUAAAUUGUUAUAUACCUCAAUUCUGAAGUCGUUAGUAUGUAUAUUAUAAGCAAUACAUAUGUUCCAUUUGUCAUAUUUUAUUUUGGCAUUACGAUUGUUUUGUCUUGAUUAAUAUUGAUUAUAAUUUGUUUAACAUUUAUCUGGCAUAUGUAGAAUUAUACUUUAUCUGAGUAGAUGACGCUGCUGCGUACAUCUUCAGGACUCGGUCAUAAACUGUUUAUCUCUGCGUCUGUCUAGCAUCCAUCCACGUAUGACCUGUCGGCUUUUUGCCCGCAAGCAUACAGUUAGGGGUGGUAAAAAUAUCUGUCCGGUCUGGAUUCGGUUCGCACCCGGAUGUUUUAUCCGGCCCGGUCUUGGGCAUCAUUUGAUAAAUUCGGAACCCGAGUUUUAUUAAGCGCCUUGGCCGUACAGCAGUAUAUUAUUUUAAAUAUUUAUAUUUAUUUGACUCAUUUAUUACAUAUAUAUAAAGUUUUAGACACUUAAAGUUUAUAUUUUCAUGUCAAAUUUCAUUAAAAUAAAUUUAAAACUUAUAAAAUUACCAAAAAAUAAAAAAUAUAUACAUAUAUAAUAUUAAAAAAUAUAAAAUCUGGGUACCCAAAUUAAAACCCGGCACAAUCCGACCCAGGCAUCUAUGCAUCCGGGUCGGGUCCGGUCAUUACGAUACCCCGACCCAGCCCAGGGUUUUGCCAUCCCUACAUGCAGUGUAUAUGAAUUGCAGUUCUUGUACGGACAACAUGUCAUCCAUAAAACUCGAGUUAUGUUCUUUUUAAUCUUUAGUUUAGAUUACAUUUUGCAAAACUAAUAAACGAUAGAGCUCCUAGCAAGGUCAAUAGUUAACUGCGAAUCCAGAAGAUCGGAAUGCUAUACCUUUCAAACAUGCAUUUCAAAGCCAUCUGCGGAAAUGGAAAACAAGCAUUUCAAACUCGUUGUUAAAACAAUGAUAAAAGUAAUUUUAAUCCUAAUUUUUAAUUCCAGGCAUGAAGCUAACUCAUAUACAAAGAGAUAUCAAGUAAGCAGAGGCGAAAGCUAAAAGCUUUGGUUACAGGGGUCGGUGUGAAUAAUGUAUAUAUCGUUUAGACAUAUUUUUGAAUAUCUAUUUUAAUUUAGGGGAUAUUAUAUAUAUUUAAAAAAAAUUAAAAUUUUUACGGGAGCCAUGGCUUACUAUAGUCUCCAUUAAGAUUCACCCUCCCUACUUUUCGUACUUCAUUAAAGUAUAGGAUAAAUAUUUACAAUAUUAUAAAUAGAUUUUAUAAAAGCAGUCCAUAUAUGAAAGUCCUUCUGCACUCUGAAUUAAAUAAAAAUAACGUGAGACUAACAAUUUAAGAGUCUUUUUUGCAACGUAUAUCGUGCAGUGAUGUACUCUAUCGACGGAGGACUCUCUUCAUAUGCUUUUUAUUUUUCCAUGCCUGAUUAUAAAUAGGAUCACUCUAUGUUACAUUAAACGUAACGUACACACACUCACAACAACAGUAACAAGUCCCAUCAUUAGAACUGUUGCUGUGAGUGCGUGUAUGUUACGUUUAACGUAACAUAUCACUAGCCUUAUAAAUAACAUCACUUUUAAGGAUUUUUACAAAUUUUUAUUACAACCGUAACUUUUGUCCUCAUACAAUAACGGUGUCCAUUGUCCACAUAUAAAAAGUUCAUCAAUAAACAUAUAACCUAAUUAAAAUUCGUGACAAAAUCCAAAGGAAAGAAAGCGUGGAGUAAUAUAUAUAACAAAGGCAUUGAGCAUACACCAGGUGUAAUUUGCAUUGCAUGGCCACCCUUACGUGGCAGUUCCGCCGAUUAACACAUCUUUAAAAGUUAAAGCCCCCCUCUCUCCUUGUUAAGGGCGUUUCAACACAACACUCAUCAAUGCAAGCAAAGAGACAGUGAAGGAAAAAUUAAGAAACCAAUAUUGUCACUUGGAAGAAAGAAACAAUCAUUACAUAUAUAAUACGAUGGAUACUAAGAACAACAGGAAGCAUUUGUCCUGCAUUGCCAACGACGUCGUUCACAGAUGUGCACUGUACGUAUCUCUCUCUCUCUCUCUCUCUCCUUUUCUUUUUCUCCCCGAUCACUUUGUUUUCUUUAUAUAUACGAAUGUAUGUAGAACGUAGUAGGUUUUGUAUAAAUAUCUGUUGCACACAUUAUUUGAUGUGCAUUUAAAUAUAAUUAAUGGUAAUUGAGAUGACACACAAAGACAAUGCAAAAAAAGAAAAAAAAAGAGAGAGUAAAUUAAUGAAUUUGCCUUGAUCCAGUUAAUUUGUGUGCAUUUAGCUGACUGUAAGGUGGUUUCGAGUGUGUUUUUGUUUGGCAACUUUUCACACAAAAGCACUUUUGGGAAGCACUUUAUGUAAUGUAAGUGCCUCUAAAAACUGUUUUAUGUAUUACUGCCAAAUGCAGUGCAGAGGUUACAAUGGGAGGGUCGGUUUUAUACCUGUUCUUCGAGACUUAAUUUCAAUAGGAGAUUGAAAUAUUUAUGAGAAUUAUGUUGUUAGCAGACUUAAUUCUUUUGGAGGAAUUCAUUCCAUCGUAGACCACUCAAUGAAUUUGGUCGAUUGAGAUUAUUUGAGUGCAUGCUUCAAAACUGGAGCAUUAAUUCUUUGACAUAAAUGGGCUUUAACAUAAGGCGCGUUCGCUUAUUCCAUUUAUUCAAGAAGUUGGCACUCAAUUUUUUAUUACUAGCCUUUAGAUGGCCAGCAGCCUUUUGUAGCCCUUUCUAGUUUCUACUAAAGUGGUUAUGUGCAAUAGUUCUAUUCUGGGUUGCAAAAUUAUUGUGUCAGUAGAAUCCACAUACAUUAUGUACUUUUCUGUAUUUAAUUUCAAGAGGCUUAGUUAUAUCAUAGUUUUAGGAUUAUAAUAAGUCUGUCCGUUACCAUGUUAUUGGAAUUUUUUUUUUUUUCUAAAUUAGUUGGACACAUUAUUGGAUUGGUCAAUAAAGGAAAGCAUUUGGCAAGUACUUGGUUUGAUAUUAACAUAUAGUUGCAGUAAAGCACAUUAACUUGUGCAUCCUGAAAUUCUUGCAGGCAAGUAAAGGCUUCUGAGGAUUCAUUGGUGGAGGGGUUUGAAGCUGAAUGGAAGCCUGAAAUCGGACAGUAUUCGAAGAAAUUUGUGGAAUAUUGCAGCAUAAAGGCUCUUACUAACAUGUGCCAGAGCAUAGAAGAAAAGAUUAGUGAUGGAUCAUUUAGUCGACUCACAUUUGAUAUGAUGCUUGCCUGGGAAAUGCCUAGUGCCGCCGAUGAGGAGUCUCAUACUGUAAGCAAUCAUCAUAAUACUCAUAUCCUAUAUUUAUUUCAUGGUCCACCAAAUCAUUAUGAUAUUAUCCCAAUUUUGGUGUGCCUAUCUUCUCUUCAAGUUGCUUCUUCUAUUUCUUUUUCAUUAUACAUUCUCUGGUUCUCAUCAGUUUUCGCUCCAAUUAAAAGAAGCAUGAAUUCUUUCACUUAUCUGCUGAAUCUGUUCUAAUGAUUGGGCAAUAGAUUUUUAUUCCUCUCUGUGGUUACUACUAUUUUGAUCUUGUGCAGGAGUGCAUGGGAAAGGAGAAUGAGGAUAGAAAGGCUGUAAAAGUCACUUCAGAUCAUGAUGAAAUUCCUCUCUUCUAUACAGACAUCAUGCCUCUUCUAGUAAGAGCGUCUCUUUCUGAUCAUUUGAGUGCUAAUGUACCGACCAAGCAUUAGCCUUCACUGAAACUCGUAUAUGAUUUCAUGAACAUUGAUUAAUUGUUAUUUUUGCUAACUACUCUAUGAGAUCUGAUCAAAUUAGAUAUAUAAAUGUUGCGAUUGAUCUUGGAUUUGCUUUAUAUUUGGCCAUCAAUUAUAUUUUACUCUUCAUUUUUAUAUUUGUUUGGUUUGAUAAUUUACCCUCUGGCCCAUAUAUAUGAUGGUAGGUUAAUAAUGAACCGAGUGUUGGAGAAGAUGCAUUUGUAUGGAUGGGAUCCUUAGUUCCUCUAGUUUCAGAUGUUAUUAAUGGGAGAUUUACAUAUGAAAUUCUGACAGCGCCAACAGGAAACCGGCUCCAUUCUCCAGCAUAUGAUAUAUUUCUAAAGGAGAUGGACAAGUAAUUCUUCCAAUUCUUCCAUGCAGCAAUUUUACCACUCAGAAACUUUAAGUGCCGUUUGGUUUUGUGACAUGCAAAUUAUCAUGGAACACUCAAAAUGAGUUGUUCUUAACAAUUUCUAGAAUUUGCAAACUCACUAACCAUAUCUGAAAAUGCAGAAGCAUUAUUACCACUUAUUGAUAACAAUAUCUCUGCUCGACUUGUUUGGGUGCUUUCAGCCGUUUUUCAUUUUCUUUUGGAAAUCUUGAUUUCAUAGAUGCAUAAAACAUUUGCAAAAACAAGCAACUCCAAAGGGUGUUGAGCUGGCUGACGAUGAAUUUAUACUGCAUGUGGAGGGAACUGCAAGCACACAGAGAGUAGUGCGCCAUAUUGGGAAAACAAGUUGGCCUGGUAUGUCUUUAGUUUGAUGUCUUACAUCUUUUUAACUGCUGUAGAAAUUGUUACUUGGAUUUUACUAAUCAUAAUUGUUGUCUCUAGGUAGGCUCACACUGACAAAUUAUGCGCUCUACUUCGAGGCUUCGGGAGUAAUAACAUAUGAAGAUGCUCUAAAGAUUGACCUCUCAAAAGAUGCUGAACUAUCUGUUAAACCAACUGCCACAGGUCCAUGGGGUGCUCCGCUUUUUGACAAGGCAAUUGUAGUCGAGUCCCCUGAACAGUAAGCAUAGUUGCACUUAUAUGAAAUUACUGGAGCUAUUAGCAUCGUUAUUCUUAUUUUAAAAAUUGUUAAAUGCUUGGUAGUUAUCCCAUAAGCUAGAUUUUAAAUGCAUAACAUACAAGGCAGACAUCAGAAAGCAUUCUGAUUCGUUUAUUAAAGUUUGUCUUUUAUUAAGCUAAAGAUAUUAAUGCUGCUAGAUUUUUCUAAUUUGGUUGUAGAUAUUGGUUAGUUACACUGUCAAAUGAGCAAAUCUCGUGGAUAUUUCAUAGUGUGGUUAUGCAAUUGUUUUUUGCCCUUCACUUUUCUAGAUCUGAGGGAAUUGUCCUGGAGUUUCCAGAGAUAACUAGCUCGACAAGGCGUGAUCAUUGGCUGGCCCUCACAAAGGAGAUAAUGUUAAUGCACAAAUUCCUGUCAAAAUUCAAGGUGGAAUGUCCAAUACAAGCAUGGGAGAUGAAUGCAAGGACAAUACUUUGCAUCAUAAGACUCCAUGCAGCAAGAGAAAUGCUGAGGAUAUUGCCUCCAGAUCCCACAAAAUUCUUGAUUUUUGCUUUGUAUGAUGAGUUGCCAAAGGGAGACUACGUGCUAGAAGAGCUUGCUGAGAGUCUGAAGAAAGUUAAUUGUGGACAUCCUUCCAGUGCUAGCUCAAUUCUGAGAUGUAUGAACCUGUCAAUUGCCGCAAGUGGAGAAGUAAAAGAAGGAAAAGAACUGGAGGAACAUAAACAUAUAAGUGAUGAAAGCUGUUCAUCACUGGAAACUGCCAUCAAUCAAUCUAAAGAGCAAGCAAAGGCAAUUGAAAUUGCUAAGUCUACCACUGAGGGCCUGAAAGAUGAAGGGAUCAGUGAUAGUAUCCUUGUUCUCUUGGUAUGUUUUUACUUCCAAAUUGUUGUUUAUGCUGCUGAUUUUAUAUUGACAGAAUAAGUAAUGACAUCUCAACAAAUCAUGGUAUUGAGAGCUUGUUUGACAUUUAUCAAACACAGCAAAGAAAUUGAAUUUUAUGAAAUUCCUAUAGCACCCUAUAAUUUGUACCAAAAAAUCUCUGCACCUUUGGCAUGCUGUAUGGUAUGGAAGUAUAGCUGUCUCAGAGAGGUUACUGUUAUUUACUUUAUUUGGUUUUGUAGUAUUGAUGUUAAGUUUGAUUUAAUAAUGUAGGAGCUACUAAAGCCACUUAAAAGUGUUUUACCCUGGAUUCGAGAAGUUGUUUCAUGGGAAAAACCAGCAACCACCCUCACUGUGAUUGCAACAACUCUACUAAUAGUGUACAAGUAAGUCAGUGCUCCCUCGUAAUUUUCUUAUAUACGGAAAUUUUUUUGAAAGUGCAUGUUGAUCAAGAACCACUUCAUUACUUGGCCUAUUAAUGUGUAAACUUUGCAAAUGACUAGUAAACUAUAUAAUGGCAAUGUAGGGAGUGGGUAGGCCAGGCUAUAGCUGCUUGUUUGCUCACCAUCGUGGUGAAGAUGCUUCAGGCAAGAAAAAAAAGGUUGACAGACAAAUGCAAUGAGAUAGUAGUAUGCACUGCUUCAGAUCAGAGCACCGUGGAGAGCAUUGUGUCGGCUCAAUACAGUUUGAUAACUAUUCAUGAGAUGUUGCAGGCAGCAAACAUUAUGAUUUUGAAGAUAUGGUCGAUAUUAAUUUCAAAGGCCCGCAAGGUACUCAUUUUGAUAACCUAUGCUUUCAGCUUAGCAAUUAAAUAUCGUUUUCAAUCAAUAUUGCUUAUUCGUCGUUAGCUGAAGUUCGUUUACCUACUACAUUUGUUGGAUGUCUUCAAUUAUUGAGGAGUCUUAGUUGCAUUUCCAAAUUGUUCUAAAUCCUCGUUUCAUUUAAUGGGUUGCAGCAUGCGGACACGGUUAUGGUGGCAUUGACUGGGUUAGCAAUAGUAUUAGCAGUUGUUCCAUUCAAGUAUAUUGUCAUGGGAGGUGUGCUGUACGGCUUCAUUAUGAACUCGAAGCCAAUGAAGUACCUGGGAAACAACUCAAACGACCAAAGCGGCAACAGACGUCUAAAAGAAUGGUGGGAGUCAAUCCCUAUUAUUCCUGUUCGCGUCGUGGACAAGCUUCCUGAGUGCCCAAAAUAAUGUGUCGGCUCCUGCACAAUCACAGUUGCCUAAAUCCUCUGUUUCUGAACUUUUGUUAUCAACUUACUGCACGAUAUACACUUCUGAGUUUGCUUUUGCCAUCAGAGUAGAACUGUAUCUGAAACACAGCAUACACUUAAAUGCUCAUUACAAAUUUGGAGAAAAGCACAAGUAGAAAAGGAUUGAAGACAUUCAGUAACGUUGAAAUUCUGCAUUUUCUUUAAUUUUUGUUAUGAACAAGUUUCUUAAUUAUUUGUUCUCUUGAUGUAAAAUAGCAUAUUGCUGGGAGUAAUGAAGAUGUGACUGUGCUUUUCCUAUUAGCAUGUUAAUAAAAGCAAAAUGGAAAAUUAUUAGUUACGUCCUCUCGUUUUGCGGCUUAUUGAGCUAACAAGUAACUUCUUCAUUACUAGCGUGCAAGUUUGCAACUAGUGAAUCUCAAAUAUAACUCUACCCAAUGGAUGGAUGUACGAUGGAUGUACCUACCCAAUCAUUUAUUUCUCAUUAAAUCUGUUAAAACAGAAAAAGUCCCGACGUCAUAUUCUUCGCGCCUUUUAAAAAACGACACGUGUCGUAUCCCACUACUCGCGUGCUGGAAACUUUAACCCACUCUGACUGCGUGACAGCAGAUCAUUCCCAAUUCAUUUCAGUUUCACUGUCACUUUCACUCCUCCUCAGGCGCCUUCCGACAAACAGGAAGAAUGCAAACUUGAAAACCCCCAAAAACCCUAACGUUCCCCCGGAGACCCUAACCCACCAUAAACCCUGGCUCUUAAUCCUAGCCACUAUGAGCGACCAAGACGAGCAAUCGCGAGCUCAGAAAGCCGCCCAGUUAACAAGUCCGCUCUCAUCCUCUCUCUCGAACCUUUCUUCUUCUUCAAGAAGCAUCCCCUCUAAUCAAGAUUUCCAUUUCUUCUACAAUUUCCCUGAAUUCAAUCAACCCGUCCAAGAAAUCGCGAACCAAUCGCAGCUCCUCCUACAAUCCAUCGGCUCAUCGGAGAUUUUUAACCAACCGAUCAAUUUUCCUGAUGAGGUUGACAUCUCGGACGCCUACGACUGGCUUGUCGACGUAAACGACAACGUUUUCGAGCGUAUGGAUGUUUCUUUCGACGAAUUUAGUAAAGUAAGAGGGGAAAAUGGGGAAGGAGAUGGAAAUGAAGGUGGCUUUCAGUUGGUUUAUGGGAAGAACAAGAAGAAGGGCGACAUUGUGGGUGGCUCUGCCCCGGCCAGUGUGAAAGUGAAGGACAGGAAAGAGAAAAGCAAGGUGCCGUUUCAUAUAUCGACUAUAACAAAACCGCAAGAGGAGUACAAGAUAGUUGUGAACAAUGCGAACCAGCCGUUUCAGCAUGUUUGGUUGCAGAAGAUUGAGGACAGUGGACGGUUUAUCCAUCCUCUUGUAAGUUUGUUAUUUUUUGAAUAUUUUGAUAUUGGAUUUGACUUACUGGGUUUGUUAAAUUUGUAAUCUGAAAAUAGUACCUUUCUUAGGGACUUUUUAGUGAUCAAUUAUUUCUUUCAUUUUCUUUUUGGGUGGUUUGUGGUAUAUGUUUACGCUUAUCUUGUUUGGAAUUUGUGUGCAAUUCUUAUUAUUCAUGCGAGAAUUUUAACACUAUCAUGUGGUUCAUGCUUGCCAAAAAUAUACCAAAACACUUUUGCUUAUUGCUAUUGCUUUAUUUGUACAGGACAAUCUUUCUGUUUUGGAUUUUGUUGAUAAAGAUAUAGGGGAUGUGGAACCUGUAAAACCUCCCUCGUUGGAGCAGACACCAUUCAAGCUUGUGGAAGAAGUUAAAGAUUUAAAGGAGCUAGCUGCUAAAUUGAAGAGCGUAGAUGAGUUUGCGGUAAAGUCUGACUUCUGUGAUUAUGUUUUAUUGAUAAAUAAUGCCGUGGUUCAGCCUUACUGCAGUAGUUUCUUUUUUUCAGCCUUUUGAUUUCUCUUUUCUGAUGGGGCAUUUCAUAUACAGAACUGAACACUGUCCUAUGUAGAGGAUAUAGUGUAGUUAAGGCACAUGUCACCGAUGUCAGCUACUUCAAAAUUAUAUAGUGCUGGAUGUGGUUUAAGCCAAUAAGACAAGAAAGGGGUGUGGCCGCCUAUGAAGAUACAUACAAAUAUGUUAAUAUUCGAAACAUAUACAAAGAAAUGUGCCUGUAAUAGUUUUCCUGUCUACGUAAAGUAGUAAACCAGCUGUCUAUUUAAUCUUGAUACAAGUUUUGCAUGUUUAAAAAAUUAUCUUUCAUCUUUAACAGUGAGUCCAUUUUUAGCUGUAAUCCUUUUCUCAAGCAUGACUUGGUUUUGCUUUCGUUUUCAUCUCAACAGUAAACCUGUUUGCAACUAGAAAACAUUGUAAUUUUUUUGUAACUUUUCUCUAGGUCGACUUGGAACAUAAUCAAUAUCGAUCUUUCCUAGGAUUGACUUGCCUGAUGCAAAUUUCCACCAGAACCGAAGAUUUUGUGGUAGAUACGUUAAAGCUUCGCGUUCAAGUUGGGCCAUAUCUUAGGGAAGUUUUUAAAGAUCCUACCAAGAAAAAGGUUGGUCCCUUCAACAUGCUCUCGCGUAGCUUUGUGAUAAAUCUUAUUUUUUCCCCCCCAAAUUAUGUUAACUUUUACUUUACUAGGUGAUGCAUGGAGCAGAUCGAGAUAUUGUGUGGCUUCAACGGGACUUUGGCAUAUAUUUGUGCAAUAUGUUUGACACAGGACAGGUUUUAUCCCUUGAAACUCUCUUUGAAAUUUGAGACUUUAUUGAUGAUCUUGUCUGGUUUUUUGUACAAUGGUUAAAUUUAUCUUAUCUUAUCUGCUUUUUUGUGGUCUAAUUUAUGAGUGUUGAUGCAAGCCUUUAUUCUACUAAAUUAGUUAAAUUGAGUUAUCUUUUGAUACUGUAUUUUCAAUUUUGUAAUUCAUCUUAUGUGUUUGAGUCAAGGUUUGGCUUCAAAAAGCCUUGUCAGUUACAUGUCAUCUCUCCCUUAAUUUUUUCAAAGUAGCUUCGCUUGUCAUUUGAACUAUUUGUAUCAUUAUUUUCAAUUUUGAUGUGGAACUUCCCCCAUUUAUUAAUGUUCUUUUGGUUGUUUUUGUGUAAUGCUCUUUUGUAAAUUUUACCGUGGCAUUUAUUUUGUUUUGCAUUUCAAAUAAUAGUGAGAAUUGCUUUUUUCAGUCCUAAGUUUAUUGGUUUAUUGUAAAUAUACUGUAUAUUUAUUUUGGUUUGCAUUGGGAGAUGAUCGUGGGAAUUUGUUUCUGUCUUUUCAUAAGGCCUCAAGAGUCUUGAAAUUGGAGAGAAAUAGUUUGGAGUAUCUUCUACAUCACUUUUGUGGAGUUAAUGCCAACAAAGAGUGAGUCCUUUUGUAAAGUACCUGAUCUGUUUCUCCUUAUAGUUUCCGCCCUUCAUCAUCCUAAGUCAACUCAUUGCAGAUACCAGAACGCAGAUUGGAGAGUACGUCCUCUUCCCGACGAGAUGCUGAGGUACCUUUGGUUCUCUUUUUAUCUUCUUUGUAACCUACUUUUCUAAUGAGUUCUCCAAAAAAAAAAAAAUUAUGAUCUGUUUGGCAUGAAAAUAAUUACUACUAUUUUAAAGUUCUUGUAUUCUUUGGAAAAGCAGAAAUCAUAUAUCAUCAUUUAAGUGUUUGGGGUUUCAUCUUUGCCUGUAUUUUUGUAGAAACUAAUAAUAUUUUUUUUUCUGUGGCUUAGGAUUUGAAUUGUGGGAAUAUCUAUGUUGGAAAUUAAUAAUGAGUGCACAUUGACUCUUGAUAGUGGACAAAUAUUUGGACAGCCAGGAAGGGGAAGGCCAACAAAAGUUUUGGGUUUUUAUAAGUUGAAGUUAUGAAUGGUUUUAUAAUUAAUUAGGUAUAGGUUUCCUCAUUUGGGUAUUUCUGGGAGAUCUGGGUUAUAAGAUUGAGAUAUUCCAGCCUGUAUAGAUAAUUGUAGGGUUGCCUGUGUUUGUGAUAUUCCAGCGCGUUUAUUAUUACUACUUCUUAUAUAUAUAAAAUUUUAGACUCUUUCCAUGUCUAACAAGAAGUUUUCAUGAUAUCACUUGGAUCCUACUCAUGCAGACUUGUAAGGCAUCCUUAGGUGCGGUUAUGUGAUCUGGUUUUUAUAAAUAUUUUUAAAUUUUUUGUCAGAGACAAUGCCUGUAGUGACAAUGUACUGACUUAUCUUUUGGUUAUUACCAAGCUGAAUCAGGUUGCCUGUGGUUUAUGACCAUACCAUUUGGUCUUAUAAAAUGUUCUUCCCUUCACCUCAUGUUCUCAUACUUUAAAGCAUGAAUAAUAUCUAAGGGCCUGAGAUUAUUUCAUUAAUUUUUCCCAAGUCUAGAUCCUUCCCAGAGAAAUGGAUGGAUUACCCACACACUCACCAGUAACAUGUCGUACUUUAUGACGGUUUUGCAUUACUGCUGUAUGUCAUUUAAUUUGCCCUUUUGAGGAUUCUUUAUUUUCUCUGGGCUGAUGUUACUUUGUGGUGCUUUUUUUUCCUAUUUAGUCAAAAUAUAUAUUCAUCAUAGAGUUUCUCUGUUAGAAUUUUCUUAGCUUUGAGGAUUCGUUAGUGGCAUAUCAUCCAAUUGAUUAUACUUGUGAUGACAGAUACGCUAGAGAAGAUACACACUAUCUGUUGUAUAUAUAUGAUAUAAUGAAAAUCAAGUUGUCCUCAAUGCCCAAGGAGUCUGAGAAUUCUGAUACUCCCCUGACAGAGGUAUGAUUUUUGCUUAACUGUUGGUGUUGUUUUGUAAAACUGUUGGGCAUCUCUAUGAUUAUAGAGAAUCCAUUUUUAAAUGCUUUUUUCAGAUCUUGUUGUGCCAUGUAUGACAGACCAUUGCGUCUGGAGAUUGGCAUGGAGCUUAAUAAUUACAAUGUUAAAAAUAGAACAUAAAAUAUUGGGAAGUAUCUAUCAUGACUAAUUCUUCAACUGUUUAAGGAAGAUAGUUUAAAUCCGAAUAUCCUUUUUUGGAUUGUGGACUAAAGAAAAUUGUCAACUCUUGAUUUCUCUUCCCAAGGAUGAAGACGUAUCAGUCUGUUGGCAAACACAUUUUUUGAAUUUUACUUUAGUUAUCUAUAAUUUUACCAUAUUGAGCAAACAUUUUGUUGCAAACAGGUCUACAAGCGCAGUUAUGACGUAUGCAGGCAGCUGUAUGAGAAGGAGCUUCUGUCAGAAAAUUCUUAUCUCCACAUUUAUGGGUUUGUCUUUGUCCCUAUUCAUCUCAGUUUAAGUUUUCAUUUAGUGGCCUCGCCUGUUUAAAAUCUUCUCUCAUACAGUUUUUGUUUGUUUCAUUCUUUACUUAGCAUUACUUCUCUUGUUUAAUUUUAGUUCUAUUUUGGACUUCGUAUUUAUGUGAUUUGACAGAACUUAAUCAGUGGAGCUUAUUUCUCUAUGUUGAAAUAGGUUGCAGGGGGCUGGUCUCAAUGCUCAGCAGCUUGCUGUUGUUGCGGUAUGUCAGUUCUUCAUGUGUUUUUCAAACUUUGCCACUUUUCUAUCUGGAUAUUAUAUGCAUGAGGAUGCUACUGAAAAUGUAUUAUCCGCAUGUUUUGUUUACUAGUUGCAUCUUCAAAUGAAACAAAGUCUUGACCCAGAAGAAUCCGUAACGCACCAAUAGUCACUAAUAGGAUUGUCUUGAGAAAUUUACUUCUAAAUUUUUGAGUGGAUGAUAGAAGGGUGGAUUUUAAGUAGCUGACACAUCAUUGCCAACUGCUGAUAGAGUCUGUUGCAUACUUGAGUAUUCUUGCUAGUUCUGGCCCCAUUGAUCCCACUUCAAUGAUUUGCAGGGUCUUUGUGAAUGGCGAGAUGUUAUUGCUCGUGCAGAUGAUGAAAGUACUGGCUAUGUAUUGCCAAACAGAACUCUGAUUGAAAUUGGUAGAAACCUGUCUGAAUUUCCUCCAACUCUCUCUUCUAUAUGUAUAUAAUCCAUUUGGUGAGUUAUGAGUUAAUCAUAUUUUCCUUUUGUGGUAAAAGCCAAACAGUUGCCUACUACUGCUGCCAAGUUACGUCGAUUGUUGAAAUCAAAGCACUCAUAUAUUGAACGCUAUAUGGGUCCGGUACUUAGCAUCAUAAAAAAUUCUAUGCAAAAUGCUGCUAAUUUUGAAGUCAUUGCUCAAAAAUUGAAAGAGGAACGUAUGGAAGUGGUAAGACCUGCAUGCUCAUGUUUGAUUGUUUUGUUAUAUCAGUGAUCCAAAUUGAUUAUUUUUCUUUGAGAAUUUGAUGUUAAUGCCUUCAAUGGAUUGCCAACAUACAUUGAUUUUCUUUUUCUUUUCCUUGGAUUUCGUUAGAAUCAGACCAACCAUCUUUUAAACGAGGAUGAUGGUCCAAAACCUUAAGGUCUACUACGAUGAAUUGCUACUUUUUGUGCAAGUUCUUGUAAUUCACUCAGCUGGUUGUCUUCGGCAAAUGAAAGGAAAAAGGAAAUUCAUCCAAUCCAGUUCUAUUGAAGAAAAAGAAUCCUAGUUGAUCUUACAAAAUUAAGCUUUCAUAAUUUGUUAACCCAUGGAAUGUGAUUAAAACUCAUGGACAAAGGAUGUUCCAGUUGAGAAAGGGAUUUGAGUGAUUUUUAGCAAUUAUCAGUGAUGUCUUCAUUAGAAGUAAGUUUAUGGUUUAUAGCAGUAAAUGCUCAAUAAUUAGGUACUCCUUGUAUAUUGGCUGACCGGGUCCCAUGUUUGUAGUAGGUUUUGUGAGCUACAGAGGAUUAACUUCAGUCAGUUUUCCAUGUUAUGGCUGU
This 35518-nucleotide long non-coding RNA is filed under the name Citrus sinensis (sweet orange). RNAcentral describes it as "long non-coding RNA (CSIN_LNC002323)". The record is from RNAcentral. Lineage: Eukaryota; Viridiplantae; Streptophyta; Magnoliopsida; Sapindales; Rutaceae.